AGUCUUUGGGUAAGGAGCUCCAACUUUCAGCACGAGAGUGAUAGGUGAUAGUAUUGGGAAAAACGAAAAGGAAUAUGUGAUCGUAAUUAAAAUGUCAGUGGAUAAAAAUAAGGCCCUUGGAGUACCCUGUGGGAAAUCAGGAGCCACUUCCUCCUGGAUGCUUUAUGUAGCACAUUAUACUGACCUAUUAAAUAAUGAGAAUCAGGCUGGGCAUGGUGGCUCAUACCUGUAACCCCAGCACUUUGGGAGGCUGAGGUGGGAGGAUCACAUGAGGCCAGGAGUUUGGGACCAGCAUGGACAACAUAGCAAGACCCCAUCGCUACAAAAAAAAUAAAAAUAUAAAUUAGCCAGGCAUGGUGGCACAUGACUGUGGUCCUAGCUACAUGGGACACUGAGACAGGAGGACUGCUUGAGCCCAGGAGUUUAUGGUUACAGUGGGCUAUGAUUGCACCGCUACACUCCAGCAGGAGCAACAGAGUGAGACCCUACCUCUGAAAAAAUAAUAAUAAGAAGAAUCACAUGGAUGAAGCAAAUGAUGAUAACCA
Molecule: long non-coding RNA, 545 nt
Filed under: Homo sapiens (human)
Lineage: Eukaryota; Metazoa; Chordata; Mammalia; Primates; Hominidae
Description: non-protein coding lnc-SLC38A6-4:1
Source: RNAcentral